RNAcentral lists this ribosomal RNA (497 nucleotides) under uncultured bacterium. Its description in RNAcentral is "partial 16S ribosomal RNA". It matches the Rfam family "Bacterial small subunit ribosomal RNA", at positions 28 to 507 of the family's 1533-position model. The record is from RNAcentral.
GAUGAACGCUGGCGGCGUGCCUAAUACAUGCAAGUCGAGCGGAAGGACGAGAAGCUUGCUUCUCUGAUGUUAGCGGAGGACGGGUGAGUCACACGUGGAUAACCUACCUAUAAGACUGGGAUCACUUCGGGAAACCGGAGCUAAUACCGGAUAAUCUUUUGAACCGCAUGGUUGAAAAGUAAAAUACGGUCUUGGUGUCACUUAUAGAUGGUUCCGGGCUGCAUUGGCUAGUUGGUAAGGUAAAGGCUUACCAAGGCUACGAUGCAUAGCCGACGUGCGGGGGGGGUCGCCCACACUGGAACGGGACCAGGGUCAUGGGGCCUGCGGGAGGGCGCAGUAGGGAAUGGGCGGCAACAGGCGAGAGCAUGGCGGAGCGACGCCGCGUGAGAGAUGAAGGUGUUGGGAUCGGAAAGCUGUGUUAUGAGGUAAGAACAGAUGUGUAAUUAGCUGUGCACAGCUUGACGGUACCGAGUCAGAAAGCCACGGCUAACUACGUG